UAAUCUUUGAUUAUUUGUGAUGAGCUAAUUAUUUCCAGCUCGCAAUCGCAAUUGAAAAGAUUAUUUCCAGAAAAUCACCGUUGAUUGUCAAUCAAUUGAAUUUGAAUAUGAAAAAAUUACGCCAGCUGUGCUCUUAAAUGACCAAUGACAAUUAACUUUCAACUUUAAAAAAUAAUUUUCCUGCUACUUUAUCAAUGUGUGGUCAAAGAAUGCCCAGUAUCUGUUAACUUUAGUUGAAAAUUGUUACAUAUUUAUGAAAAGACCUUACAUCUUGUUUAAUGAAAGUGUCAUAUUUUGAUUGAAAUUUGAUUUAAUCUGAUUCUAUUCCGUCCACUUUUUAAAAAAAUUUUAUCCACCGAUAAUCAAAUCAAUCCUUAAUGGCAGACGCACCUGGACCUAGCCGACCACGCUUGACACACGCACAAAAAGCUAAUGCUCGUAAACGAGCGCGCCUUGCAAGGAUUCUUGACAGACCCAGUAAUGAUCCUAAUAAGCGGGCGGUUUUUCAGAAAAAAGCUGAAAAGCUUCAAAGACGAGUCUCGAAAUGCAAAGAGCUGAUUGAGGGUCUCCGGCAGAAACUGGAAGCAGCAGAAUCUGAAGAAGAGAAAAGACGAGUCGAAGAUCAAAUAAACUUUCAUACGAGUAGACAGGAAGAUCUGGAAAGAAAGGUCGACAUCUUCUUGAAUCCACCAAACAGUAAUAUGGGAACACAAACAGAUAACUAGUUUCAUACACUUCGAUGUUUUUAACACUUUAACGACAAUCCAUUUUGAUUCUGACGCCUCCUGAAACAACUAGCUUGUUAUUCUGCUAUGACAAGAAACCAAUUAUCUUCAAAUGGUAAACAAUACUUAAUAUUUAAAUGGACGAAAUUUUGAGCUUUCAUAUGAAUGAGAACGAAAAUGACACUUGAAUAUCGCUAAAUAAAAUACAGCCUUUGCUUAGAUCA
This is a non-coding RNA of Tetranychus urticae (two-spotted spider mite), 949 nucleotides long. Lineage: Eukaryota; Metazoa; Arthropoda; Arachnida; Trombidiformes; Tetranychidae. The record is from RefSeq and is a predicted model, not a curated record.